UCCAGGCUGGGGGUGGGGGUGGGAGGGGGGCUUGAAGGGGCGCCUGCCCUCAGGGCUCUGGAAUGCCAUGCAUGUGUUUAUCUGCUGAGCCGGGCCUGCCCGCUUGGUCCACCUCGGCGUUCUCCAUGGGCUCACAUGCCAUCGGUCUCUGAUAAACGUGAAAAAAUAGCAACAUCUGAGCCACCGACCUUCACAUAGAGGCCUUGGAGACCACAGCCAGGGCGGUUGCUCCUCUGUGGGGUCAGACAGCCAAGGUCUGCAGAGGGGGAGAGAGAAGCAUACCCUCAGAUCAGGGGUGGGGACGCCGGGGUCCAGGGCGCUACGGAGUCUGCCCUGGACACAGCCGGGCUUGGAGGCCACGGCAAGCAGGAUGGGGCCGGAUGCUGUCCCACAGAUGCCGGGCGGCGUGCCCUCUGCACACUGAUGGCGGGGCCCAGCCCGCCCGCUCCAGCCCCGCAGACAUCUCUGGGCACCUCGCGUGUCAGAUGCCACACUGAGGCCAGGCCCCUGCUGGCACCCCUCUCCUUUGCCUGCCCCCCCUCCCACAAAGUCCCUGCUCCACUGUUCAGCCGAGACUUCCUGGUCUGCGGUGAAGGAUGGGAGGGCCUGGGGUUUUCCAGACAGUCUGAGUUGUGGGUUCUGAUCUCUUCCUUAAAAAAAAAAAAGAAUAAGCCAACAUUGUAGCCUUGCCUGCACGGUCCGGUCAGUGGAAUGCAAGCAAAGUCUUCAUUUGGAGCCAACUCUCUCCCUUUUCUUUCCUUUUUCCUAAGACUUCCCAGGUGGUGCUAGUUAUAAAGAACCCGCCUGCCAGUGCAGGAGACUCAAGAGAUGCGGGUUCGAUCCCUGGGUCAGGAAGAUCCCCAUUCUUGCCUGGAGAAUCCCAUGGACAGAGGAGCCUGAUGAGGAGACCGAGGCUCAGAAGAUUUAAGUUCCUUCCCAAAAUGGUGACUUCAAAGCCGUGGAGCCAACGUUACAGCAGCACCAGGGGUCUUCUGGAUGACUGGACCGAAGGAGGGACCAGCCAGCCCCGUUUGCCAGGGAUUCUCCCAGGCUUAGCCAUGCAGGUGUCAUGGGAAAGCCCUUAAUCUUGGGCAAAUCCAGGGAUGUUGGUCACCCCAUUAAAUGCUCAUCUGUCUCCUCUUUUCUUAUUGCUUUUGAUUUUCACAGCAACACACUGUUAACUUUAGCUGUUUUUUGGGGCAAAGACAGAGAACUGCCCCAGAAUGGCGCCCCUGGUUCUGGGGGCCAUUUGAGGAUGAUGGGGAGGAGUGUGCUGGGCACAGAGCUGGGAAGGCAACGAAUAUCCACUCAAUGCCCACUCAGCAACGCUUGUUGUCGCCCUGACCCAACGUGGGGGGCAGGAGAAGGGGAAGGGACACGGGAGUGAGGGCAAAACAGGGGACCCGGGUGGAGGGGAGGGAGCACCGAGUGCCGAGUUCCAGCUGGGCGGCCUGGCCACCCCCACCACGUCCUGGAGCCUGGACUGCUCUAUGGGGCACGCCUGGGGCACAGGGUGGAGGUCAGGUGAAGAAGCUCUGGCCAAGCAAGGAUGUGAGGCUGGGGGUGGGGGUCCCCUUAGGGGAUGUGAGGAUCGCUGUCAUAGUGUGGCGGGGAGGCAAGGAAAAGCAGAGGACCUCUGGGGGUGGGGGGGGUGGGGGGGGUAGAAGAAGUUUCGGGCAGUCUGUAAGCUGUAAGCCGAGUACCGGGUCUGCCACGAGCCAGGCGUCUGUCUGUGCUUUCCGGCACUCAGCCCCUCGAGCCUCCGAAUCCCAGGAGGUAGGUAUCGUCCUGGUCCUCGGGAUCUCCGUCUUACAAACGCGAGUAAAGGCACAGAUGAGUAAAGAAACCUGUCUAAGGUCACACGGGGAGACAUGAUGGAGCUGGGGUUCCCAUGUGUCUGACGGUAGAGGAGGAGAGGCGUUUUCCCUUCCUUCCUUCCCUCCUUCCCUCUUGCCUUCCUUUCUCUCCCUCCUCUUCCCUCCCCUUCUUCCUCCUCCUCCUUUUAAAAUGAUGCAGCCUUUUCUUGACCCACCAGGCUAGGUGGGUCGAGUCUAGGGAAAGUCUUCUUUUCCAGCCAGCCCCUGCCCGCUUCCUUUUUCACUUUCUUCCCCAAAGGCUGGGAGAGGGGACUAUUUCAGCGCCCCCACCCUUUCCUGACUCAGGCCCCGUCGGGCAGUCGGGCUGAAACGCGGAGAGAGACGUGGUGACUGGUGUUCCGGGCGAAUGUGAAUGUGAGAUAGGUGAGCGCGGAUGAAAGCCGCUCCAGGAGAACAUCCGGAUCCUGGAGCCUGCCGACUGCCAGCCCCGCCCUGCGAGUCCACGUCUAAAGCCCCGAUCCCGUCUCCACGGCUGGUCUCCAUCAGGAGCCCGGGGAGGGCGCACACCCUGAGGUCAGCCGCUGGCUCAGUCCCCGCCCGCUGCCCGGGAGGCAGCCUCCGGGCAUCCUCUGCACCUGCGUCUGGUGGGAAAUCGGGGGUGGUAGGUCAAGAGGGAACCUGCGCAGGGCGUGGGUUCCCUGCCCUGGGCAAGCUCCGCCUCCGCCCCGGCCCUCUUGACAAAGACCUCCCGUGAGUCAGCGCUCAGGCCCCGCCCCACCCGCGGGGCGCUCUGCCCAGCGCCACCCCCGCCGCCACCUCCUCACCCUCAUCCGUGACUCACCUGUCUCCCGCUGGUCCCCAUCGCCGAGUCUCCGCGGGGCUCGUCCAGGGACCGGCCCUUCUGGGAACCGCAGGACCACACCACGUGGCUGACCGGCCUGCACAUCAACGCACUGAAAUGAAUGGACAAGACAGGCCCAGGACUAGCAUCCGCUUCUGAGCGGUGAGGACUCUUGGUUCACAUCGCUUUCUCAGUGGAAGUUCUCUUUUUGUCAACACGUUAGGGAAUUGGACAUAACGCCUAGAGAGAAGCCGUUUCUAGAGAAGCACUUUAGGGAGUGCCUGAAACUGCAGCGUUGUGGCAGGUGUCUGUGAUGCAGCCCACCACAGCAGGAGUAACUGAGGCUGAAAUCAGUCUUUCUGAGUGAGUGAGUGAAAGGCGCUCAGUCAUGUCCGACUCUUUGCAACCGACUCUUUGCAACUGUAUAGUCCAUGGAAUUCUUCAGGCCAGAACACUGGAGUGGGUAGCCUUUCCCUUCGCCAGGGGAUCUUCCCAACCCAGGGGUUGAACCCAGGUCUCCCACACUGCAGGUGGAUUCUUUACCAGCUGAGCCACAAGGAAAGCCCAGUCUUUUUAGCUCAGUAGAAAAUUUAUC
Bubalus bubalis (water buffalo) is the source of this 3253-nucleotide long non-coding RNA. RefSeq lists it as uncharacterized. The record is from RefSeq and is a predicted model, not a curated record. The transcript has 2 exons. NCBI's taxonomy places the organism in Eukaryota, Metazoa, Chordata, Mammalia, Artiodactyla, Bovidae.